CACGGUUUCCCAUAACUUGUUUUGGGUUUUACUGUAUUUAAAAAGUUGUCUCCCAUGUAUAUGACAGGUGGGAUUAUUCAAAAGUCCGACAAUGGACUGGAAAGUGAAGUUGUUUGUUUGUUUGUGUGUUAGUUUAUUUAAUUGUUAUAUUUGUGAUGACCCCACUGCUACAGAUACCGUUUAUGAAGUCUUACAAAGGACGCAAGGAUUAUCAAAG
RNAcentral lists this long non-coding RNA (217 nucleotides) under Mytilus galloprovincialis (Mediterranean mussel). The record is from RNAcentral. Lineage: Eukaryota; Metazoa; Mollusca; Bivalvia; Mytilida; Mytilidae.